This 461-nucleotide ribosomal RNA is filed under the name uncultured Oomycota. Its description in RNAcentral is "SSU rRNA". It matches the Rfam family "Eukaryotic small subunit ribosomal RNA", at positions 312 to 769 of the family's 1831-position model. The record is from RNAcentral. Lineage: Eukaryota; Oomycota.
CUAUCAGCUUUGGAUGGUAGGAUAUGGGCCUACCAUGGCGUUAACGGGUAACGGGGAAUUAGGGUUUGAUUCCGGAGAGGGAGCCUUAGAAACGGCUACCACAUCUAAGGAAGGCAGCAGGCGCGUAAAUUACCCAAUCCUGACACAGGGAGGUAGUGACAAUAAAUAACAAUGCUCUGGCUCUUCGAGUCGGGCAAUUGGAAUGAGAACAAUUUAAAUCCCUCAUCGAGGAUCAAUUGGAGGGCAAGUCUGGUGCCAGCAGCCGCGGUAAUUCCAGCUCCAAUAGCGUAUAUUAAAGUUGUUGCAGUUAAAAAGCUCGUAGUUGGAUUUCUGCUUUGAGCGUCCGGUCCGCUCCUUUGGAGUGUGUUACUAGGAUGGUUGAGGCAUUUUUUGUGAGGACGCCCUUCUGCCAUUCAGUUGGUGGUUGGAUGGACUUGCAUCGUUUACUGUGAAAAAAUUAG